RNAcentral lists this long non-coding RNA (4881 nucleotides) under Sorghum bicolor (sorghum). Its description in RNAcentral is "long non-coding RNA (SBIC_LNC005448)". Lineage: Eukaryota; Viridiplantae; Streptophyta; Magnoliopsida; Poales; Poaceae. The record is from RNAcentral.
CCACAUCAUAUGCACGACUUGCAACCUUGCUGCACUUCAAGCCGUUUCUGGCAUAAUCAAUAUAUGGGGACUGCAAAGCACGCCCUGGUCGUGCUGGCCUCCUAGGCGGAGGUUGAUACGCAGGUGUGUGUGAAGUGCUGGGAGCAGAUUGUAGACCAUAGGUUGUAGCUGAUGUUGUCUUUUCAACUCUUGUUGGCUUCCUUUCUGAAUGUUCAAUUGGGUUAUCUGUAGGUACAGGAGUUUGCUUAACUGCACUGCUAGAAAGUAACUUAUCUGUCCUAUUCCUUUCUAUAUCUUCAAUUUGGGCAUCAAGUUCUUUAAAUUGUUCUUCACUUAAAUUGUCCCAAAAAUAAUCAUCAUCAUAUUUCCUUGCGUUCCUUUCUGAAUUACAUUCACUUGGCUUUGAUGGUGGACGUUCACGGGGUGUGGGAAAAUCAAUGAAUCUCAUAAUGUCCAUUGGUGGGGGAUCAAAAUCCCAUUUAGAGUGCUUUUCUGAUUUUUCUUUGUUUUCCACAACACUAGCAGAAGGAGGGAGCCUUUAGCCAUGAAAAAAGAACAAAAAAUUAGUGUUAGUACUGUUGUGUUACUAGAAAAAAACUUGAUUUAAAAACAAUGACAAAAAAAUGCUAUCUAUUCAUAGUUGCAAUACUAUCUCUCCAUAGUCGAGCAAUUUUAUUCAAAUGACAUAACAAAGGAGUGAUACUAGUGUAGGUGACCAUUUAACACAUAAACACAACUGACCCAUAAAGUAUGAAAAAAUAGACACAAAAAAAAAUAUAAUUUCUACCAAAUUACAAAUAACUUGCCUCACUAAUAAAUAUUAAGUUGCUUAACACAAAAAAAUAUAUCCCAUUUACCUCAGCCUUUCCCUUCUUGAUUGAGAAGGAACAACUUCUAGUGGUGUUGGUUCUGAUUCCCUUGAAUCACCAGCCGGUGCAUCAACUUUAGUGUGCUUUUUUGAUUUUUCAUUCUUUUCCACAACACUAGCAGGAGGAGGGAGCCUUUAGCCAUGAAAAAAAACAAAAAAAAGGGCUUAGUACUGUUAUGUUACUAGAAAAAAACUUGAUUUAAAAACAAGGACAAAAAAAUGCUAUCUGCUCAUAGUUGCAAAUACUAUCUCUCCAUAGUCGAUCAACUCAUUGAAGUGACAUAACAAAAAGAUUGAUACUAGUAUAGGUGACCAUUUAACACAGAAACGCGGCUGCCCCAUAAGUAUAAAAAUAGACACACAAAAAAAAUUGCUACCAAAUUACAAAUAACUUGCCUCACUACUAAUAUUAACUUGCUUAAUAACUAAAAUUGCACGCAUAUUUUAAAAGUGGUUCUCUACUACUCAUAAACACUUAGAAACACAUGCACCAAAAUGCAUUGUUUUAGGAUUCAUCUAGCCUGUUGCACACUCCAGCUUUCCUGCAACAGAAAAAAGUUGGCAAAAAUAAAUCAACUUUGGUGUCAACUUUACUAUAACAACAUGGCAGAAAAAAGCGUGUGGAGCUAGAAAAAUGUAAUUUUUUGUGUGGGGUGGGGUAGGAAGCAGAGGUGCAAAUAUUUAUUCAAAAAAAUUACUGAAAAAAUCAAUCCAAUAGAAACUGUAACAUACUUAACACAAAAAAAAUAUAUCUCAUUUACCUCAGCCUUUCCCUUCUUGAUUGAGAAGGAACAACUUCUAGUGGUGUUGGUUCUGUUUCCCUUGAAUCACCAGCCGGUGGAUCAACUUUGUUGGUUGCAUCAUCCUCACCAGAGACACCCUCAUCCUCUAGCUCCACUUCUUUGGCCACCUCCUCAUCCUCUAGCUCCACUUCUUUGUCCACCUCCUCAUCUUCCUCGUCCUCGUCCUCAUCCUCGUCCUCCUUCCAAUCCUCCUCCUCCUCCUCCUCAUCCUCCUCGUCCUCCUCGAUCUCUUCAUCUUCAUCAACAUCCUCUUCUAUUCCUCCAGUCGACUCAAAGGAGCGAGGGGUUCAAUGCUUUGUUGAAGAAGUAUGUCAACCCAAACUUGUCAGUGCUACAGUUUGUGAGGCAGUACCAGAAAAUACAAGAAAAGUGUCUGGUUGCACAGGAUGGGCAAGACUUCAGGACCGAUGAGAAUGAGCGAAGACGAUGGUCAAGGCAUCCACUUGAGAAGCAUGCUUCCACUGUAUACACAAAGAAUAUGUUUUACAGGUUCUCCAAAGAGUUUGAGAAAACUGCAGAAUAUGAUGUGAAGCCUGUAGGGCAGUUCCAAUAUUGGUUGGAGCCCAAUAAUAGCUUUGUUUUUGGGUAUGGAAAAAGGAACUAUCUUGUUACAGCAAUAGAAGAGGAUGAAAGCUAUUGCUGCGAGUGCAGCAAGUUUGAUAGGGAUGGAAUCAUUUGCUGCCACAUUAUGAGAGUUAUGGUCAGAAUGGGUGUGAAAUUAAUACCAGAAAGGUACAUCCUUAAAAGGUGGACGCAACAAGCAAUUGCUAGUGAUACUAACCAGGUCCAAAAUGUGAAUGCACCAGUGGGACUUGUGGCCCGUGGGAUGCCAUUGACUAGUGAGAAAACUUUGAGAUUUACCAACGCAACCACCGCGUUUGCAGCAAUAGCAGUGGAAGGUUGUACAAAUGAUGAAAACUAUGCUAUUUGGAGAAGCACAUCAAGGAGAUGCGAUCUGAAUUUGAAGAAAUUAAGAAAAGGACGAUGGCAAAUAGGCAAAACACUAGUGGUGCAGAAGGUGGUGCUACAGAAGGUGCACAAAAUGGUACAGGUGUCUCUACUCUAACUGGACCUUCAUUGCAAACUGCAAGUUUAAAAAACUAGACACUAUAUUCUGCUUUGCUUCAUUUUUGUAUGUCUGUACUAUAUUGAUUAGUUGCUUGUUGCAUUUCACAUUGUAGGUGCAGUGGCUGGUCCAAAUACAUCAAGUGUAGCGAACCCCCCAAAAUCAAAAGCUAAAGGGCGCAGGAAGGAGAAGGCACACAAAAAAGGGAUGAAUGGUCAAGCGAAGAGGAAGAAUAAGUGCAGCAUUUGCAAAUCAUAUGAUCACAAUGCACAGAGAUGCCCGGACAAACUCAAAAAAAAAUAAAAACAGUUUCUUAGUGGGAAUACAUACCUAGCAAAUAUUCAUUUUACAUCUCCAUGCAAUAUUGUUUUCUGGAUGUUGGAGCCAUUUGUAUGUGAGCAUCUUUCGAAUAGUUGGCAUAUCUUUUUCCUUAAACUCUGGCAUGUUAAUACCAUUCCAGUGUUCACAGUGCAUUAGCAUGUGGAACCCGCAGUCAUGACUGCAAAAAAAAAAGUCAUAAUCAUAUGGAGGAUGACAGAAACUUUAGAUAUGAAAAUAAAUAUGUAUGUUGAACUGUUGACCUACUUGUUUGACUGCAAUGGAACAUUAAUAUCAAUCAGUUGGUACUUGUCAAUAUUCUUCCUUGAAUUAGGGUAAUGUUUGCGCCAAAGUUCCUUAAUUGCAGUGAUCAAAUUGUUGCAGCAUGUCUUCAAGUUAAUGUCAGCGAGAGACCUCAUAGAAUCGAGAACUUCAAACCUUUCUUCCCUUAGGUUCAAGACUAGAAGGAAGAAGUGGCCCACUGUUCUAUCAAGCCUUUUGAAACGAAUAUUUUGCAAUACAGGAAACAUGACCUACAAAAAAAAUGCUAGCAAAAAAAUGAGAAUAGCUACUAAAACCAAAAAAAGGCUUCAUAGCAUCUAUAUUGCCAGAAAAAACAUAAUCCUUGAGUGAUAUAACAGCUAGCAGGCUUCUAAAAAAAUAAAAAUAAAAAAAUGGUCGUGAAUCGAAUUGAGAUAUGGACAAUUUAACAUAGGAACUACCUGUUGUUCUCUGCCCUACACAUGUCAUAUUUUGUUAUUUUCUAUAAAUUGCUCCACAAAUUUUAGAACACAAAAACAAAAAGUUAUGAUGGUAGGACACCAAGAUUGCAUAUUUUUUUUUAAAAAAAAGUAUAACCUAAAACGAAACAAUAUUAUAGCCUAAUGAACAUAGUUAAAAUGCCUAUUUUGAAAAAAAAGAAGAGGAUUAAGUGGACGAUCAAUUACCAAUUGAGAACGGUCUAGGUGAUGGAGGCUUCUUUGGAAAGCACAAUUAAUCUCCCCAUUAUCCAGAAUCCCAUCUUGUAGAAAAGACUGUAAAAAAAGAGAAUUAAAAAAAUAAUGUUAGAAAAAAAGUGCUUGUUUGAAAAAAAUAAGCAUACAAACUAAGAAACAUCAGUAAAAGUAAAAAGAAAAGGGGGGAUUCUCACAGCUAUUCUUAGUGGGAGUAUUUGUUUUACAGGGAUCUUGGCCUUUCUGUCUUUUAAUGCAUAUAUAGCAAUUUCAGCUACUGUGUUGAAUAAUUUUCCACCUGGUUUAACUGAUUCAGAAAGGUGCUUCAAGCUCACAUAGUAAUCUGGAUAACUCGCUGCGUACAACAUAGAUGGGUCAUAGUUAAAAAAACAAAAAUACAAAAUGAAUUCGAGAGUUUAACAGGCGGAAAUGCCAGUCAAAAAAGAAAAAGUUGCACAUACUCUCCUUGGCUUGAGCUUUGACUCGAACUCCUGGUUGACCUUCUAGUGGCCGAGCAUACCACAUCAUAUGCACGACUUGCAACCUUGCUGCACUUCAAGCCGUUUCUGGCAUAAUCAAUAUAUGGGGACUGCAAAGCACGCCCUGGUCGUGCUGGCCUCCUAGGCGGAGGUUGAUACGCAGGUGUGUGUGAAGUGCUGGGAGCAGAUUGUAGACCAUAGGUUGUAGCUGAUGUUGUCUUUUCAACUCUUGUUGGCUUCCUUUCUGAAUGUUCAAUUGGGUUAUCUGUAGGUACAGGAGUUUGCUUAACUGCACUGCUAGAAAGUAACUUAUCUGUCCUAUUCCUUUCUAUAUCUUCAAUUUGGGCAUCAAGUUCUUUAAAUUGUUCUUCACUUAAAUUGUCCCAAAAAUAAU